GUUUUAAAAUUCUCUCUGAUUGCUUUGGGCUGCGUUGCUCUGAUCCUGAUUCUGCUGUCCAUCACCAUAUGUUAUGUUUACAAGAAGAAGCAGCUCAAGUCAACACAAGCCGCUGCUGGAGAUACAGAGCUCAUAUACGCUGAUAUCUCUCAUGAGAAAAAGAGUGAAAAGAAGAAUACAGAAUCUUUCCUGGCUGCUGAUGUGGAAUACUCCGAGGUCCGAACGCAGACAAAGAGGAAGAAGAAGAAGAAGGAGGAGGAGGUUCAGUACGGCGAGGUGACAUUCACUCCGAACCACUCAAACGCUCCACAGCAGCAGCUUCAGGAGGAGUGUGUUUACUCGCAGGUACAGAGACACUAGUUUCACAGCAAAACUCGUGUAGGAUCGCACUUUCCCUGAGAAACCGGAUGCUUAUUUUCACUUAUGUUUGGCUUUGGGAGUUUUAUAGGUUAUAUAAAGCACAUAUCUCUUUGCGUUUGUAAAUUAUUUAGCUUGACAUGUUAACAAUGGUACUGUGUGUUGAUAUGUGGUGUUACGGGUUGUAUAGCGUGAGCUUUAACGUACAUGUCUGGGCUGAACUGUCAGAUGAGUAAACAAAACAAUGGAAAAAAGAGGAAACCAAUCGCACAUUAUUUCCCCUUGAACUUCUGUGCAAUUCAGUUUUUAGCGCUUCUCGAUUUGCAACUGCGACUAUACGAUGGCAAGAAAAACCUUGAAAGUUAGCUUUUAAUCAUGAAUCUCGAGGAGGUGAUUGAUGUGCACAAGUGCUCAAAAGUCAUGAAAACACACCUUGAUAGCACACGUACAAUACAGAGACGUCUAUUUGACGUCUGCAUUACAUCUGCAAGGCAUAUUUUUUUAGUGUUUGUUCAUCUGCAAUACGACUAUAGGACGUUUCCUAUCAGAUGUCAAAUAGACGUUAAUAAGAUGUCUUUAAGAUGUUUAUGAUUUAGAAUGAAUGUAAACUGACAUCUUAAAGACGUCUAUCAGAUGUUUGUACACAGCAGAUGCUUUCCAGAUGAAGCGAUCUUUGACAGACCUCUUGCAGACGUGAUGCAGUUUGGUGAUUUGGAAUUAACAUUUCAAAGCAAUUAAAGUCGGAAAGUCACAGAAAAUCUUAGCUUUGCUAGACUGAGUUAUGCAUUUCUGCAUUUGGCCGCCUGGAGUGAGUUGAAGCAGUCACAUGUUGUUAAUGGGGGCUUGUGGCAAAAAUGCAACCAAAAUUAACCAAAAUGCCCCACAAAUUCAAGAUAAAGGGGCAAAAAUUGCCCCUGCACAAUGCAACAAUGUACUACAGCUGUUGUGAUUAAAAUGAACUGCUCAUGCUGCAUCAGAUUGCAUUUUAUGCUUUUUUUAUUUUGCAGUGUUGAGCUUUAUAAGCAAUCACAUGCGUUUCCGUUGAGCUUAGGAAUGCAAUGGCCAAUCAGAGCUGCUUAGAUUAGUCAGUGCUCAAGACUCCGGAGUUGUUGUUGAUUAUAUUGCCGCACUGAACCCACAUCAUAAACAACAGUGCAGAUACGAUGUAAAUAAAAGAUUAAUUUCAUAGCAUCAGUUAUUAUAAUGGGAGGUUUUGCUCAACUUGUGCUAGUCUAGUCUAACGUCAUGGACCGACAUGUUUGUCUCUGAAGCCAUGAGACAAACUUUUUUUGAGACAAAAUUUUGAUUGAUUGAAGUAAUUGGUUAAAUUCAAGUAAUUGACAUUAAAAACAACACAGAUACAAUUAUUAAGGUGGUGAUAAAAACUGCCCUCACGAAUGUACAAAAUCAGUUAAAUAAUGACCCUGGUUUACAGAACCCUUCUGUUUACAGAUAAAUAUUGCAUUAAUAAUGUCUUAAAUUUUGUUCCUCGAGUACAGGGAAAGACCUGAGAGAGGCCAAAAAGGCCUGAUAAUGUCUAAAGGUUUGCACACAUAAGUCCUGUAGUGUUGGUUGAUAGUAAAUUGUAACCUAUUGGUUUCUACCAGAUAAACUAGUCAAGAGUUCAAUUCUUAAAUAAAAACUUCACAGCUUGAAUUUACAGUAAAUGUAUGUAAACACGUCUGCUAAAAGUGAUACUGAAUGUUGAUAUGUGGUGUAACGGGUUGUAUAGUGUGAGCUUUAACGUACAUGUCUGGGCUGAACUGUCAGAUGAGUAAGCAAAACAAUGGAAAAAAGAGGAAACCAAACACACAUUAUUUUCCCUCAAACUUCUGUGGACUCCUGUUUUUAGCGCUUCUUGAUUUGCAACUGCGACUAUAUGAUGGCAAGAAAAAGCAUACAUGAAAGUUAGCUUUUAAUCAUGAAUCUCGAGAAGGUGAUCGAUGUGCUCAAGUGUUCAAAAGUCAUGAAAACACACCCUGAUAGCACACGUACGUCACGGAGAUGUCUAUUUGACGUCUGCAUUACAUCUGCAAGACGUAUUUUUUAGAGUGUUUGUUCAUCUGCAAAAUGUCUAUAGGAAGUUUCCUAUCAGAUGUCAAAUACAUGUUAAUAAGAUGUCUUUAAGAUGUUUAUGAUUUAGAAUGCAUGUCCCUGAUUGCACAAAGAGACUCUAUCUGACCUCUGCAUUACAUCUGCAAGACGUAUUUUUUUUUAGUGUUUGUUCAUCUGCAAUACAUCUAUAGGACAUUUCCUACCAGAUGUCAAAUAGACAUUUAGAAGAUGUCUUUAAGAUGUUUAUGAUUUAGAAUGAAUGUAAACUGACAUCUUAAAGACGUCUAUCAGAUGUUUGUACACAGCGGAUGCUUUCCAGAUGAAGCGAUUUUUAUAUGUAUUCCAUUAAUCCGUAUUAAUAAUCAUUAUUACAAUAUCAAGAGGCAAUAAUCGACAAUAACGAAUGUUGUCAUAAUAUUGCAGCCAUAUUGGCUCCUGUUUUUAAAUGUAUAAUUAAGAUAUGAUUUCAAACAGUCAGUUGUUACUGGCAACAGUUUAAAGUAUUUUGAUUAAUUGAAGUAAUUUGUUAAAUUCAAGUAUUUGACAUUAAAGACAACACAGAUACAAUUAUUAAG
Molecule: long non-coding RNA, 2987 nt
Organism: Cyprinus carpio carpio
Lineage: Eukaryota; Metazoa; Chordata; Actinopteri; Cypriniformes; Cyprinidae
Source: Ensembl